CCUGGUGGCUGAAACGGUAAAGAAUCUGCCUGCAAAGCAGAAGACCUGGGUUGGAUCCCUGUGUCAGAA
RNAcentral lists this transfer RNA (69 nucleotides) under Bos taurus (domestic cattle). It matches the Rfam family "tRNA". Rfam says of the family: Transfer RNA (tRNA) molecules are approximately 80 nucleotides in length. Their secondary structure includes four short double-helical elements and three loops (D, anti-codon, and T loops). Further hydrogen bonds mediate the characteristic L-shaped molecular structure. tRNAs have two regions of fundamental functional importance: the anti-codon, which is responsible for specific mRNA codon recognition, and the 3' end, to which the tRNAs corresponding amino acid is attached (by aminoacyl-tRNA synthetases). tRNAs cope with the degeneracy of the genetic code in two manners: having more than one tRNA (with a specific anti-codon) for a particular amino acid; and 'wobble' base-pairing, i.e. permitting non-standard base-pairing at the 3rd anti-codon position. Lineage: Eukaryota; Metazoa; Chordata; Mammalia; Artiodactyla; Bovidae. RNAcentral also lists the same sequence under 3 other names. The record is from Rfam by way of RNAcentral.